CCUACGGGUGGCAGCAGUGGGGAAUAUUGCACAAUGGGGGAAACCCUGAUGCAGCGACGCCGCGUGAGUGAGGAAGUAUUUCGGUAUGUAAAGCUCUAUCAGCACGGAAGAAAACGACGGUACCUGACUAAGAAGCACCGGCUAACUACGUGCCAGCAGCCGCGGUAAUACGUAGGAGGCCAGCGUUAUCCGGAUUUACUGGGUGUAAAGGGAGCGUAGACGGCUUAUCAAGUCAGAAGUGAAAUGCCAGGGCUCAACUUUGGAACUGCUUUUGAAACUGAGGAGCUAGAGUGCAGGAGAGGUAGGCGGAAUUCCUGGUGUAGCGGUGAAAUGCGUAGAGAUUAGGAGGAACACCAGUGGCGAAGGCAGCUUACUAGACUAUAACUGACGUUGAGGCACGAAAGCGUGGGGAGCAAACAGGAUUAGAUACCCGAGUAGUC
RNAcentral lists this ribosomal RNA (440 nucleotides) under uncultured bacterium. Its description in RNAcentral is "partial 16S ribosomal RNA". It matches the Rfam family "Bacterial small subunit ribosomal RNA", at positions 338 to 795 of the family's 1533-position model. The record is from RNAcentral.